This 23-nucleotide microRNA is filed under the name Plutella xylostella (diamondback moth). RNAcentral describes it as "pxy-miR-8532-5p". Lineage: Eukaryota; Metazoa; Arthropoda; Insecta; Lepidoptera; Plutellidae. The record is from miRBase by way of RNAcentral.
CGGGGCAUCUUGUGUCGAAAACU